RNAcentral lists this ribosomal RNA (253 nucleotides) under uncultured bacterium. Its description in RNAcentral is "partial 16S ribosomal RNA". It matches the Rfam family "Bacterial small subunit ribosomal RNA", at positions 524 to 776 of the family's 1533-position model. The record is from RNAcentral.
UACGUAGGGGGCAAGCGUUGUCCGGAUUUAUUGGGCGUAAAGAGCGUGUAGGCGGCUUUGCAAGUCCGUCGUGAAAACUCGAGGCUCAACCUCGAGACGCCGGUGGAAACUGCAAAGCUAGAGUCCGGAAGAGGAGAGUGGAAUUCCUGGUGUAGCGGUGAAAUGCGCAGAUAUCAGGAAGAACACCCGUGGCGAAGGCGGCUCUCUGGGACGGUACUGACGCUGAGACGCGAAAGCGUGGGGAGCGAACAGG